AAUGAGGCUCCCGGAACCGGGUGGGUGGGGCCCCGCGGGAGCUUCGUCCUGGGGAGAGCUCAGCGGCUGCUGGUAUUGAGGGUCGUGUGCGGCUGUGGGUGUACCUGCAGGUGGGAUUCGUAUGUCACCGGCCUCGCUGGGCCGGGUUCGUGACGUCAGAAAACAUGAAGGUAGCUGAAUCCAGGCCAGAACUAACAUUUGCUCAAGAUUGGGUCUCAAAAAGUCAAAAUACCACCUUGGCUCCCUUACCAACUGAUAAAACACAUGCUGUUUCUCAACCUCUUCCACCUGCAGCUUUCCGAUGCUGCUCGUUCAUUACCACCUGAAGGUGCCUCACUUUUGUUCAGUUACUGACUUCCCAGUAAAUGUUGCCAGUACUAGAAGCUGCAAUUGGACUAUUUUGUUGCUCUACAUAAACAGAGCCUUAAUCUAGCUUUAAGGCUCAAAGAAAGACUCUACAGGUGUCCACUUGGACUUCACUGCCUUCGAGAAGACUCUGCUGGUUCUUCUUAGACCAGGUUAUGUGCCCUUUCAUGUACUCCUUACCUUGGUACUUAUCAGAAUCAUAACUGAAGACCAAAACCACCAAGUACUCCUGCCGCUGCCCUGCCGCCUUUACUGAGAGGCACCCCUGACAGGGCAUGUCACAAGUCUGGCCAAUGAAGUAUGAAGGACAAUCGGCUGUGUGCUUCAGGUCAAGAAGAAUGAAGACAAAGAAAAGGUCAAAAGCCUUGAUGAUUAGGAAGUUCUUAACGUUUUCAAGAAGGCCUGACCACACCGGGGGGUAGAGGAAAAGGAACCAAUGGAGAAGAAGGGCUGAAGGGGCAGGAGAAGGAGGCCCUCACUGAUGGAACAGGUUCUGGAGGACAUGGGAGAAGAUGUGCUGUUUGGUUUCCCUCUGUUGUCUGCUCCUUGAGUUCCGGGUGAAUUGAGGGCUUUGAGGACCGAUCGAUGGCCAGACUGAGCUGAUGUAAUCACUGCUACAAGGACCAGCUACCUCACUUGCAGGGCCCAGUGAAAAAUGAAAAUGCGGGGGGCCUUGUUCAGAAAUAUAGAAAUCCAAAAUGGCAGCAGUGUUAGGCUAAGUUGGAGCCUUUCUCAGCACAGGACUCUAUGCAACUUCAUGGGCCACAUGCCCAUGAAGCCUGGCCUGCUUGGCAUCACUUUCUUUGAUGAAAAGCACUUAGCCUACAUGGUUUCCAGCAUGCUGUUGGCACUUGCGAAUAGAAGGAUGGAUGGAUUGGAAUGGAAUGGAAUAGAUGGACACAUAGAUGGAUGGAUGGACAGACAAAUGAUGGGGAAAAAAAUAAAGUUGAAAAGGUACAAGAACCAGGUCAAAGUGCCCUGUAUAUCCUGGAACAGAAUUUGGAUUUUAUCCUAAAGGCAAUUGAAGACCAGGAAGUAUUUUAAAUGGAAGUAUGACAACAUCCCUAAUUGGAUUUUUGAAAGAUGGGGAUACAAAGGAGCCUAGAGAGACCAGUUUAGAAUCUGCAAUAGAUCAAGCAAGAAGAUGGAGAGGGGGUGGAGAGAAGAUUGGUUCGAGAGAUAAUUAGGGGAUUGAACUAUGAGAACUUUAUUAAUCAAUAGGAAUGGGUAGGAUGAUUUCCAGGUUUCUGUCUUGGAUCAUUGAUGCCAAUCACUGAUCAGAAGAUAAGAAUAAGGAGCAGGUUUUGAGGAUAAAUAACACGUGAGGUCCUUCCUUUGUGCUCAGUGGCAAUUUCAAAUCUGCUCACUUUUCUCAAGCUUCACCAAAGAUGCCCAGCAGAGAAUCUCACUUGUUUUCUCCUUCAGGGAAAGUCAUAGUCAUCAAGCAAGAAUCUCUCCACCUCCUUACUGCCGGUGACUAACCUGUCUGCAUCCUUCUCCUUCAGUCCUUGGUAGAGGAGGUUCCUCCCCAGGUCUCCUCCAACCCUGUGCCCCAGGACCUCACCCACAGUAAAGCCUCUUCUUAGACCUUUAACCUGGCCCUCUCCACUCUUCUCCACAGCAUAUAGCUUUCAAAUGUCUCCUGAAUUAAAAAGAACCUUCUUCCACGUGUUGCCUAUUCCUUGCUUUUCUUUAACAACUGGCUUUCUACUUGUAGUACAUUUUUGUUGUGAAAAGCUCAAAAAUACAUAUGAAGGAGAUGAAAACGAAGUUACAUGGAAUUCUACUAUCCAGAAAUAGUUCUUGCUGAUAGGCUGGCAUAUUUCUUUCUAGUAAUUUUUCUAUGCAGAUAUGCCUGCAUGCAUAAAUGAGUAUUUUAUACUUUUCACUUCAAACUACAAGCAUUUUCCAUGUUUUAAAAAAAAAUGCCAUUGACAUUUUAAAUGAUGUGUAAAUAAUCUAUUGUCUGGCUAUACCAAAAUUUAUUUGAUUAAAUCUUACCAUUGCACUUUUAAAUUUUUCUACUAUUUUUGUCAAGUUUAUGUACUAUAAACGCUUUUACUCACAUUUCAGAUUGUUUCCUUCAGAUAGAUUUCUAAAAUUGGGAUUCUUACGUCAAAGAGUAUGAACGUCUUUAAAGUUUUUGAUACAUAUUCCCAAAUUGCUUUCCAGAUAGGUUGCACCAAAAUACAUUGCUAUUCAUUCUGCCUUUGCCAGGCUUAUCAUUCUUAAGACUGAAAAAGAAUCUUUUAUCUAAUGAUCAAAAACGAUAUCUGGUUUUUUUUAUUCUGUAUUUCUUCAAUUAAAAGUGAAGCUGGACACUGAACUAUACACUUAAAAAUGGUUAAGAUGGUAAAUUUUAUGUUAUGUGUAUUUUACCACAAUAAAAAAUUUUUUUGGAAAAAAAAGUGAAG
Molecule: long non-coding RNA, 2780 nt
Organism: Felis catus (domestic cat)
Lineage: Eukaryota; Metazoa; Chordata; Mammalia; Carnivora; Felidae
Exons: 11
Source: RefSeq, a predicted model, not a curated record